UAUGAGAAUUCAACGGGGCUUUCUGAGUUUAGGAGUAAAGUUUGUGUCGGUCUGACAUGGCAUAUAUUAUUUGGAUACUUUUGAACACAAAAUUUUCUUUACAGAACAAUUGAUGAAACCCUAAGUAUUUCAUUUUCUGAAUGAAGAGAAACAGAGAGAGAGAAAUGAAAGAAGAUCACACAUGAAGACAGAUAUCUACAUCACCUU
This 207-nucleotide long non-coding RNA is filed under the name Homo sapiens (human). RNAcentral's name for it is "HSALNT0078030". The record is from RNAcentral. Lineage: Eukaryota; Metazoa; Chordata; Mammalia; Primates; Hominidae.